GAUGAACGCUGGCGGCGUGCUUAACACAUGCAAGUCGAACGGAAAGGCCCAAGCUUGCUUGGGUACUCGAGUGGCGAACGGGUGAGUAACACGUGGGUGAUCUGCCCUGCACUUCGGGAUAAGCCUGGGAAACUGGGUCUAAUACCGGAUAGGACGAUGGUUUGGAUGCCAUUGUGGAAAGUUUUUUCGGUGUGGGAUGAGCUCGCGGCCUAUCAGCUUGUUGGUGGGGUAAUGGCCUACCAAGGCGUCGACGGGUAGCCGGCCUGAGAGGGUGUACGGCCACAUUGGGACUGAGAUACGGCACAGACUCCUACGGGAGGCAGCAGUGGGGAAUAUUGCACAAUGGGCGCAGGCCUGAUGCAGCGACGCCGCGUGGGGGAUGACGGCCUUCGGGUUGUAAACUCCUUUCGCUAGGGACGAAGCGUUUUUGUGACGGUACCUGGAGAAGAAGCACCGGCUAACUACGUG
This 468-nucleotide ribosomal RNA is filed under the name uncultured bacterium. RNAcentral's name for it is "partial 16S ribosomal RNA". It matches the Rfam family "Bacterial small subunit ribosomal RNA", at positions 28 to 507 of the family's 1533-position model. The record is from RNAcentral.